GAGGGGAAGGCGGAAAGGAAGGAGUCCAGGGGGGCAGAUGGGUGAGAGAGACUGACGAGGAGCAGAAACCAGAGAAGGGACAGAGCACAGAGGGCAGAAGCACAGAAGCACGGCAAAGAGCAAAACUUCACUCCAUUUUUCUUGGUUUUAUCCUCUCAAACCCAUGUUCUACUUUUGGUUUAAUUUGAUAAUAAUGUGUAACUAAAUUUAUUUUAGCUAGAGGUUAAUUCAAAGCCAUGAAUAUAUUUGUAAUAUGAAUUGAUUACCUUCAAUUGUGAUUUUUGAGUUGUGAUUUAAUUUGCUUAACUGCUUGAUUGAUAACUUAUUUUUGUAUGUCGAUUAAGAAUGCAUACUUAAUUUAGCGAAGACUUUGGUACAACAGAAAGUGUCAGG
This 393-nucleotide long non-coding RNA is filed under the name Malus domestica (apple). Its description in RNAcentral is "long non-coding RNA (MDOM_LNC020023)". The record is from RNAcentral. Lineage: Eukaryota; Viridiplantae; Streptophyta; Magnoliopsida; Rosales; Rosaceae.